UACGUAGGGUGCAAGCGUUGUCCGGAAUUAUUGGGCGUAAAGAGCUUGUAGGCGGUUUGUCGCGUCUGCUGUGAAAUUUCGGGGCUCAACCCCGAACUUGCAGUGGGUACGGGCAGGCUAGAGUUCGGUAGGGGAGACUGGAAUUCCUGGUGUAGCGGUGAAAUGCGCAGAUAUCAGGAGGAACACCCGUAGCGAAGGCGGCACUCUGGGCCGGAACUGACGCUGAGGAGCGAAAGCGUGGGGAGCAAACAGG
RNAcentral lists this ribosomal RNA (253 nucleotides) under uncultured bacterium. RNAcentral describes it as "partial 16S ribosomal RNA". It matches the Rfam family "Bacterial small subunit ribosomal RNA", at positions 524 to 776 of the family's 1533-position model. The record is from RNAcentral.